GGCGGGAUAGUCCAGUGCUCAGGGGGUUGGACUCCCGGCCCAAAGGUUCUGGGUUCGAUCUCCAAUGUCCAGUCCAGUCUA
Molecule: non-coding RNA, 81 nt
Organism: Merluccius polli (Benguela hake)
Lineage: Eukaryota; Metazoa; Chordata; Actinopteri; Gadiformes; Merlucciidae
Source: the annotation of a GenBank genome assembly